GACAGAGGGUGCAAACGUUGUUCGGAAUUACUGGGCGUAAAGCGUGCGCAGGCGGUUUCUUAAGUCAGAUGUGAAAGCCCCGGGCUUAACCUGGGAACUGCGUUUGAAACUGGGAGACUUGAGUGUGGCAGAGGGGGGUGGAAUUCCACGUGUAGCAGUGAAAUGCGUAGAUAUGUGGAGGAACACCGAUGGCGAAGGCAGCCCCCUGGGUUAACACUGACGCUCAUGCACGAAAGCGUGGGGAGCAAACAGG
RNAcentral lists this ribosomal RNA (253 nucleotides) under uncultured bacterium. RNAcentral's name for it is "partial 16S ribosomal RNA". It matches the Rfam family "Bacterial small subunit ribosomal RNA", at positions 524 to 776 of the family's 1533-position model. The record is from RNAcentral.